UUUUUUUUUUUUUUUUUUUUUUUUUUUUUAUAAAUUUGGGUGAUGGGUAGAGGAACUUGCAGGGAGCGGACGAAGAGUUGGAGUUUGAGGAAGCGCUUCUCGGCCGGCUAGUCGUUUGACAGCGGUCUUUGAAGUUGUUGGCAGCUGCGAGGCAAGAGACGGAGGAGGUGGAGGUGAUUUUGACGUCGGAUCCAGCUAGAACCCAGAGCAUAGCCACUGAGCCCAACCACCGAACACAGCCGCCGCACACCCGUUGCAUUGCUACUGAGCACAGCCAUUGCGCAUCCGUUGCACUGCCACCGAGCACCGCCACUGAUCGAGCACAGCCACAGAGCACCGCUACUGAGCACAGGCACAUAGCACAGCCCACUCAUCCCUCGGCAGAGAUCCAAAGUAAGAAGAAAUUUCCAAAAACUGAGGAAAGUUCAUGUUCCUGUCCCAGCGAUGAUCCUUGUGCCAUGGGACCUGGUCCAGGCCGUAUAGGUUAGAUGGAGAGAAGGCAGGGAGGAGCCUGGUGGAUUUCAGAGUCGAGAUCGAAUUCAGACGGAGAAUGAGAGACUGAGACGACGAGAUCGAAGUCCUGAACGAAGUUCUAAACCCUGACCCAGAACCUGCAUACCGAUGAUGAUGAACCAGAACCUAAUUCCCAAAACCAAACAACCAGAACCCACAUCCUGCAGUAGAGACCAAUGUCGAGGAGCAGUCUGGGGACGCCAUCGUCGGGGAGAGGCUGUUUAAGGCACGAAGGGAAGGUAAUUUUGCUACUGUACGAAGGAGACCGCGCGAUCUCCUUGGUGAUAUCCCUUCACCGCUUGCAGACACAGGCACAAGCGACGACGUUUUUUACGGUGAGGCCCCUUGUCCUCGCUGGCCUCCACUCUCCGUAUGAUCUCACCGAGCAGCUCCGGGAGCAUAUCCGACCACGAAGACGACAACAGCGACGAAGAUGAGUCAGCACAGUUCGAGUCACGGACGACUCGGCGGUCGCCCCCACGGGCCUGAUCCUCGUCGCUGAGCUUCAAUUCCCUGAACGAUUUGGAGAAUUUCCAGGAGCGAAAGGCUUUCCGCAGCGACAUGGGUUCAGAUUUGGGGCUUUAGGGUUCCUGAUUCUUUGGAUUGUGUGCAUCUUCCAUCCAGCAGCUGCCAACCCUCCAUGAUGAUACUCACUGAUUGUUUCAUCAACAAGUAUUACAAGAUCUCGUGUUGAACCAGACAUACGGAUGCUCUGAGCUGCAGCAAUGGCUCCACAUGGGCAGAAUGUAGGAUUGUUGCAUAUGCUUCUCUGUGGGCUCUUUCCGAGUAAAAGCUUUCUUUAGCCGUGAGAGGAGUUUGAGAGUGGAGAAAGCAUGAGAAUGGGCUGUGACCCAUGGCAGAAACUCGUUGACGCAAACACAAAACUUCACUCCAUCUUGAACUGGUGUCUUCGGAUAAAAAAAAAAUGCCCAAUUCAAACCAAAAUGCCUCCAGUCCUGCCAAUGCAAGCCUUUUGUUCCUGAGGAGUUGGCCUGCCCCAGCUUAAGAAAAUCAUGCCUUGGUUGCGGUUGCGUCCAAGUCUGAAAUAUUAGUCGAAAUCUGAGGUAGUAGAUCACAAUUUCAGGGGCGGGAGAUUUGCCGAAAGACGGUUCCAGCCAGGACAGAGGUUUGACUCAGAGCGUUCAUCUCGGAGAUUGAAUCAAGAUGGUUACUCUGAACCCGUGAUGCGUCCUGAUGGAAGAUAUGAGAUUGUUCAUCGCGUGAGGCGUUUUGAUUCAGAUGGUGGUGUGCGUCAGUACCGUUAUGAUAAAGAUUGUUUUGCAUCUCACAACACGCAGAACUACGAUGAAUCUGACCAUAAGGCGGCCGAGAGUCCGGGAGAGCGAGAUUGGGCCUGGGUCGCAUUUCUUGUUGGGUGUCUUGAGCAAUCCCCUGCUUGCAGAUCUUCGCACACAUACUGGUCCGAUUCGAGUAGGGUCUUGAUGUCCGUUUUGUCUCGGGCCUUGAGGUCCACUUGUUGGGCUUGGGCCUUUGACGCCAUAGCCCGGAUGCAGACGUAACAAAACGACGCCGCCGCCGUUGAUCUCGACGACACCGCAGAAGCUAUGGCUCUCCGUAUCAACCUCGUCGCCAUUGUUGCGUCUCUGAGCUUUGACAACAUAUGUAGCAGCAACCAUUAAAAGGCUUCUCUGCUCAUUAACCAUCUGUUUUUUAGCCCUUCUGACGACAAUACCACAACCUAAUCUCAUCGAUGGCAGAAGGCAGAAAGGAGGUAGAAGACGAAGACUCCUUCUGUUUGAAAAGUAACUCACAGUUUUGGGCCGUUGAGUGCUUGUUGGGCUCACGGUCAUCCUCAAUAAUGCAGCCCACCAUUAUAUAUAUAUUUUUUUAUAAUACAUUAAUAACAUGUUUUUUUUUUUUUUUUUUUUUUUUUUUGUACAAAGAAAUUGUAAUAGCAUCAAAACUUUUAAUUAAAUCUUUAUUCCCUAUUUUGGUGUGACUGAACUCGAAAUUGAAUGCUCGAGCUGCCUACGUACCCUUCCAAAAAAGAGAUCAAGUCGUAACGUAGUUCAAAUACAUUUUUUUUUUUGUACUUUCUUUUGGUGUCGUUUGCAGUUUCAACUCGUGCAGACAAGGAGCUUUUGGUGCCGUGUUGCAGUUUCAGCUCGUGCAGGCAAUGAGCGUUUGGUGUCGUUUGCAGUUUCAACUCGUGCAGACAAGGAGCUUUUGGUGCCGUGUUGCAGUUUCAGCUCGUGCAGGCAAGGAGCGUUUGGUGUCGUUUGCAGUUUCAACUCGUGCAGACAAGGAGCAUUUGGUGUUGCCUUUUAUGCUUGUGCAGACCAGGAGCUUCGUGCCAUGCAGUUUAGACUCGUGUAGGCGAGGAGCCUUGGUUCGUGCAGUUUAGGCUCGUGCGAACAAGGAGCAUUGGUGUUGCCUUUUAUGCUCGUGCAGACCAGGAGCUUUGUGCCAUGCAGUUUAGACUCGUGCGGGCAAGGAGAAUUUGUGAAUUUUGUCAAGCAAUCCGGGAGAGGCGUUCCUCACAAUUUUCAUAGCAAGGAGCUUUGACCGCGUGAUUGAAAAAGUCUUCGGGCAGGAAAUCGCGCAUCGUGAUGGGGAUGGACGAUCUAUGUGUCGAAAUUUCAUCAUCUUCAACAAGUUCACGUUGCUUUGAAGGUUGACAAUAGCUGCUUUGCCCCCUUUCCGAUUGGCGGACUUGUGAAGGAGACGUAUGCUUCUUGUGCAAUUUCUUAGGAGUGACUUGAGUCCAUCCUUCAACUUUGCUUGUCUUUGAGGAUGCCCCCAGCGGUUGAGGUGAAAACUUUGAGUUGGAAGAGCCAAAAGUGAAGGUGGUAUAGUUUGACUUCGCCACUUCGUCAAGAUCUAGCUCGAUGAUUCCUUUAUGAGCCAGCUUCAUGAUGAGAUCUUUCAGCACGAAACAUUUUUCUGUCGGAUGACUGAUGAAGCGGUGGAAUUUACAGUACCUUGGAUUGUCGGUGCGAUUCAUCUCUUCCGGCCGUCUGCACUCAGGCAAACUGAUCACCUUCUUGUCCAACAGGUCAUCUAGCAUGGCAACCACAUCAGAGUCGGGGAAUGGAUAAGUCUUCUCCUCAAGCUCCUUCAAAGUGCGUCUACGCGUCUCUUGAUCACGAAAAGCUUCGGUUUGAAUCGCCUUGCCUCGUGUGGAUAUUUUGACAGGAGAUGUGUUGAUCAUCAUCGCUUCCUUGGUGGGUUUCCAAGCAGCCUUCUCCACCUUUGUCUCAAGAACUUUGUCGUUCUUGUAGUCGGCGAUCGGUUCCUUCUUCCCAUGAUGGGCGAUGCUCAACUCCAUGUCAUGGGCGCGGGUGGCUAGCUCUUCGAAGGUCCGUGGUUUGAUGCCUUGAAGGAUGUAUUGCAAACCCCAUUGCAUGCCUUGGAUGCACAUCUCGAUUGAAGAGGUUUCCGAGAGCCUGUCUUUACAGUCGAGGCUUAGAGUGCGCCACCUGUUGAUGUAGUCAAUGACUGGCUCGUCCUUCCACUGCUUUGUGCUCGUUAGCUCUAGCAUGCUCACAGUGCGGCGGGUGCUGUAAAAGCGGUUGAGGAAUUCCCUUUCCAACUGUUCCCAGCUGUUGAUGGACUCAGGCUCUAGGUCCGUGUACCACUCAAAGGCGUUUCCUUUCAGCGAGCGCACAAACUGCUUGGCGAGGUAGUGUCCUUCGGUUCCUGCGUUGUUGCAAGUUUCAACGAAGUGGGCAACGUGCUGUUUUGGGUUUCCCUUUCCAUCAAAUUGCAUGAACUUUGGUGGUUGAUAACCCCUUGGCAUCCUUAGGGCAUCAAUCUUCUUGGAAUAGGGCUUCGAGUAGAACAAUGAGGUAUGUGAGCUCCCUUCGUACUGUGUCUUGAUGGUAUUGGUGAUCAUCUCCUGUAGCUGCUGGAUAGAAAGAGAUCCCAUGAGUGCCGCUGCUUGGUCUGGCUCCGGCUUCCCAUCGAUUUUCUUCACCGGGGGUUCUUCGUCUCCGCCAGCUCCUCCCUUUAGUGGAUCAUCCUCUGGGUCGGGUUUAUCGCCAUCCUGCGCUUCCAGUCGGUUGACUAGUGCUGCAAUUUGCAAGUCUUUUUCUUCCACAGUUCGGGUUAGCCUUGCGAUUGCUUCAUUCAUUUGAGCCAGCUGCUCAUCGAUUGAAGUUGCUCCAAUGGUCAUGACUUGCAUGGCUGAACUAUCGCUUGAAUCGGCAUCGGAGAGCAUGGAUUCAGAGUAUUUCCUUGGGCUUUCCCCCCUUGGUGCCCUUAGUGAGGCUAAGGUGAUCAAAGGCUCGUGCCUUGGGUGCUUUUGUUCCCUUGGCAGAGUUGAUGCAGAGGUGAAAGAGGCGGCAGAAGUAGCUCUUGCCAUGCUUCGAGUCAUGAUGCCCAAAGUGACACCAGUUGCGACGAGGACGCUUUUGUUCUUUGCGCCGGUUGCGGGAACAGUUUGAGCCUUCCUUGAUGCCAUUAAUUUUGGAAGUGCGCUUGAAUUUCUUGAACGGAGAAAGAGAUGAGAGGUAGAGAUUGUCCCACUGGUCGUGCCAAUUUGUGAACACGGAAAAUUCCUGAAACGAAAGAGACAAGAAACGACGUGCACAAACAAAUAUUUGUAUUUUUGAUUUUGGGUUACAAUCUCUCUCUAUUUUGAUCCUCUGAUUCGAUCUCCGUAAGGUGUGUAUUUGUGGAUGUGUGAUUGAUCCAAAUGGCCGUUGGGCUUGAUCUAAGGAUGAACGUUCUUCAAGGGCCGUGGACUUGAUCUUGAAGGUGGAUUUGAGCGGAUCUUCAAAGGGGCUUUUGGGCUUGAUCUUUGAAGAACAGUGAUGAACGGAUCUCCAAGGGCUUUUGGGCUUGAUCUUGAAGAACAGUGAUGAACGGAUCUUCAAGGGCUUUUGGGCUUGAUCUUGAAGAAACGGUUGGAUGUGUGGAUUUGUCGACGUUGUUGAUCCAAAGGGCCGUUGGGGCUUGAUCUUGAUUUGGUGGAUGAUUGUUGAUCCAAAUGGCCGUUGGGGCUUGAUCUUGGAUGAACUAUGAACGAGGAACGAAGAACACUUUCUUCAAGGGCCGUCGGGGCUUGAUCUUGAAUUGGUGGAUGAUUGUUGAUCCAAAGGCCGUCGGGGCUUGAUCUUGGAAGAACGAUGAACGAAGAACGAAGAAGGCUUUCUUGAUUCUUCGGGAACCUAGAUGCUUAAGAGCUUCGGAGUUUCAGAGCUUCAGAGCUUCAGAGCUUCAAGGUGUAAUAUGAAUUCGUUCCUUGUAAAUGAAUGAAAUGGGCUUGUAUUUAUAGAAUUUUCCAAGGCCUAACUUUGAAUAUAAUAUCCCAGAUGAAAUAAGUCGUUUCUGCUAGGUGUUGACACGUGUCCUGUUUGAUGACUUUUCCAACUUAUUUUGAUUUUUUGUUUAGACACACGCUACGUGUAAAAUUUAUGUAAUACAUGAGCGUUGAAACUUUGAUUUAUCGGUCAACAUUUAUUUACCGAAAUUUCGAUGUCUACAAUAGGUUGGCAGUUGAAUUUUAUAAUUAAGGAAUUAAAAAGAUCCCAACACAAAUCCGAACUCUAAAAUCCCAAAUCCCACUCCCAUCCAAACAGGUCCACAAUUCCUUCACCCAAAUGUUCAUACAUUCAUCAAAUUACUCCCACCUAAAGAUUUAGUCUCUAAUCAAAUCCUAUUAUUCAUGCUAUUGCUAUUGAUCCUCCGCAUCAACAAAAAUAAAAUUCGGAGAAGUAGACUUACAGUAGCCGGCGAAGUAACGGAUGUCGUCGAGGUCGGAGGAUGGCUGGAUGGGUGGUGGUGGUGCCGUUGUGUUGGUUGUGGCAGUGGUGAUGGGCGUUCUCUGGGAUGUCGAAGUCGAGGGAGUCAAGGGAGUGACGGAUGGUGGAGAGGUGGGAGUGAAAGAGUGAGACUGAAACUGAUUCUGGAAACCUAGUUUAGAAGGUAACAGUUCAGAUUGGAUGAUAGGUUAUCAUUCAAUCUUGACCGUUGAUUAUAAUUAAAAACGGGUCGGUCCGGGGCCCUGUUUUUCUAAGGUUUAGAAACCAACCCGCCCCGUAAAUAACAAUGGCCCGGCCUGGCCCGUCCCAUUUGUUCCAAAAAAAAAUAGGACUCGGCCUAUACCCGUCCCAAACCUACAUUACCCGUCCCGACCCGCAGUUCCUUUACCCGUUUGCCCACCCCUGGUGGCAAUGGCUUUAAACCAUUUUUAAGUGAGUGUAGUGUGUAAUAUAUACAUUAUUUUUAUUAGUGGUGCUAUUUAUGCAUUUAUUUUUAUUUCUUAUAAGUUUUUUUUUAAUUAUUAACCAUCGAAUUAAAUGAAUUAAAGAAGAUCAAUAGCGAAAAACUAACAAAGUUGUGUGGGAAGUAAAAAUGAGUGUAUGAAUAACACUUUCCUUGAUAAAACCCUAAAGACAAUUUGGUCCGCUUCACAAAAUGAAAUUAUCAGUAGCAUACAAACCAAAUUUUGCUGUUUUUUUUUUUUUUUUUUUUUUUGUAGGCUUGAUCAUCAAGUUUCUCAAUUAAUUUCAUUUGUAAUCGGUUUGUGCUUUUUUGUAGGCUGAAGCCGUAGCUGAGGAGCUAUGUGAAUCAGUGGCAGCUAGUCUUGACGGUAAAAAGUUGCCAUGGUUCACGGCAAUAUCUUCUGCUGUGCAGGCAGCAAUGGAAGAAGCACUUGUUCGUAUUUUAACUCCUACUGUGGACUCUUCUCCUAUACUGAACCCGCGGAAGAAUCUGCCCAGGAAACCAUGUGUUUUCGCUUACAUUGACACCACAGGAGAUUGGAAAGCAACCAGUUCGGUUAAGGUAAUUAAGCUGAUUAAUUUAAUUCUUGUGCUUAAGUCAAGCAGGCCUCUAAUUUUACUAAAUGGUUCUGCUUAAUCAUAUAUUGUGAUCAAUUUGCUGCAGGCUGCUUGUCGGCUCCAGAAGGAACGGAAGAACAGCGUUAUUAUGGUGGCCGACCGUGAUACAUUCCGGUCAGACACUGUUAUGCAGUUGCGUAGAGAUGCAUGGAAACUCCAGGUACUGAACUAUACAGAUAGUUUCAAUUUAUAGGAUUCACGUUCACUUAAGAAGAUUAAAUUUUACAGAUGUGAGAUAGGUCAGUUUGUCAGGUAGUGUUCCGCCCCUGCAUCUAAGUUCGAACACCCUUACUUGUAAAUUCGAGUCGAUUAUUACUUACUGUCUCAGCCUGAUAAUUAACUUCCGAUUAUUAAGAAACCAAUUUUGCUCCAUGUCAGCGGAUUCCUAUUUUCGAGAUGCGGCAUGAGAAGGAUCCCACAAUUACCAUAAAGAAAGCAGUCCAGGAGGCCAGAGACGAUGGUUCGGAUGUGGUUGCUCAUGCAGCCAGUCCAAAGCAGGUAUAUCGCUUUUCCGAGUUUCUUCUUUUGCAUUACUGAUGAACUGCUAAACGGGUCGUGUUUGUCAUGUUCGUUCAUUUUUGUGUUAAAUACGUUAUCUUAAAAGAUUCUUAACAGGCGAUCAAAUAAUGACUUGAUUUGUUAAUGUGGUUUCGUGUUAAGUUAACGAGUCAUGCAAGAAAUUGUCAUACCUAAUGUCUUAUCGGUUAUUAACUAAUAACGACAUGACUGAUUAACUAAUUAUUAAUGGGUAACUUGAUAAUGACUUAACUCGUUAACAGAUUGACCCAACACAUGUAAUUUUCGUAUUGUAUCACUUCGUGUCGGUUUAAAGAAUGGUGUAAAAAAUUGUCAAGUCCUAUGAUUAUGCAUUGUGUGAAUUAAUGACUGAAUUUGACCAUGCCUUGGGUAGGCGGCAACUGUGCUGGCGACGGCGUACUUAUCCGGAGCUAAGGUCAUUUUACGUGGCGUUGGGAAGCCGUACACAGGAGAGAAGCACACAACCAGAAAGCUUGUCAAGAAACUCUUCAAAUGACACUCAACUGUGCUGGCUUCUUAAUUUCGUUAUAAUCACAGCAUAUAUGCUGUUAAUUAAUUUGUUUGUUGAUUAUGUAAUCUAGUAUCGUUAUCGUGUAUUUUCGAAACUUGAACGUGAAUUGAUGAAGUUGUUUUGGCACUAGUUUAAUGUCAAAUCUAAUUAAUUCUCUUUUGUUCUAGAGCUUCUCUUUCUCUACUGUAAUUAACUGAUGUAGAACAAAUGAUUGAGUGAAUUGAAGGCAAAAUGGACUGAAGAAAGACAAACUACAAUAAGUAAAAAAUAAUAAUAAAUGUUAGAGAGGUGGUACAAAUGGAAUUGAGAUUCUUUUCAGAUCUCAGGGUCUGAAGUCGACGGAUCAAAUAAUCUAGAUCACAUUUCAAAUCUUACAACUCUCACUAGUCUUUUUCAUUUGCUCACCUCACAAAAUUCAAGGGUUUGGAUCUUUCUCCGUCUUUUGAACAAUCUAGAUUACACAGUCCAUCAACUCCAAACUUCGAAAUCUGAAAAGAACCUACAAUAUGAUAUAUAAAAUAUAACUAGAGUAGCAUUUUUUAUAAUAUUUAUAUGAGCUCAAUUUUAAGGGAUCUCUAGAGUAGAGCCUAAAGCUUAGUUUAUUACAUAAUUUAUUCAUGAGAAAUUUAAAAAAUAAGAUAAAAUAAAAUAUAAAAAAAAUCUAAUCUCCGAUUCUUUUUACUUUUAUUAAAACCGUCGUCUAUAAAAUUUAAACUCAGAGCCUCCUGAAACUGAGACUCCAUCUCCAAAUAAAAGAUGACAAAUUCAAGUGCAGCAACAACACAGUACAUCUAAACAGCACUCACAAGUCUCAUAGCAGCAGAAACAAGAAGAAGCUGCAAACAAACUGCACCGAAAUUCACAGAUCACAAAACGAAAUUAAAAGGAUAAUCAAGUACAUAUAUAAGUAAAAACUGUAAAAAUUUCAAUCAUACUAACCAAGCAUAGAGGCACCCCUUCUCCUCGUGGCGCCGUCAAACGUGAUCAACCGGGGACAUUUCUUGGUAACCCGGUGGUGCAUACAUUUUCUCUUCUUCCUCCUCCCACCACAAAUUAAGAAAGAUAAAUAGACUGAGUGCUGAUUUUUCUGUGCAACUCUCUUCUUUUUUAGGCUUACAAAUUUGAUAGAAAUACUGAAUGAUAAAAGCUGUGUGUGAUUUGCAACCACUCAGAUUUGGUAUUAAAUGUAUCCACCAAUCAUUUUUAUGAGCUUCCAUUACAAAAUCAAUGGUUGACAGGUGGGUGAGGGAAUGAAGCUGAGAUUCUAUCCCACCACAGAAGUGGGCAGUCUAACUCUUUAUAAGUACAGACAAAAUCGCUUAAUCUUCGUUGUGUAAUUCACAUUCUCAACACACUCCCUUUUGUGUGGGGUCAUUUAAGCCUAGCACAUGACAGCACACUUGGGUAAAGUAGGAGCAAGCAAGAUGUGACUCAACACGUGAGUAACAUGCUCUGAAACCAUAAAAAAUGUUUAGGGAAAGUUAAGGUAAAUAAACCAAUUAGUAAUAUUGGACGUAGCCUAACUCUUUAUGAGGACAUGCAAAAUCCUUAAUUCGCUAAUGUGAAAUUUACAUUCUCAACAGCAUACAUAUAAACAUACAUACAUACAUGUUUACGUGCAUAUAUAUAUACAUGUAUAUAUAGGUGUGUAUAUACGUAUACACAUGUGGGUACAUACGUGCAGGCCAUGUGUGAUCACCGUCCAAAUGGAGAUGUGAAGUCAGAUUCCAAUGGCUUGAGUCAUGACACCAUCAUCAGGGCUUCCCGUGAUUCAUAUUCACAAGAAAUCACUGAUUUCUUUAUCAAUAUAAAGACGAGACUACCACAUCUUCUCUCUUUUUAUUCUUUCAUGUAUUACAAUUGUAUGAUUCUAACAUGGGUUAGUAGACAGAAAAAUAAGGGUAACGCAGUCCGACCACAUCAUCCACAAAGCACCUCUCAAAAUAUUAAGGGAUGCACCUCUCAAAAUAUUAAGGGAUGGCGUAUAAUUUGAUCUUACUCGAUUCCAUUGAUCUUCAACCGAUGCAGGAGUUGCCUAGUUAGACAAUCCUAUUGAAAUUUCGACCGUUUGUAUGUGAUCUCGUUCUAUGUAAAAGUUAUCCUAAUCAGUCAGCCCUACCAAAAUUUCUCAAGUAUGUAGAUAAACUCUUUUUAGCAGAAAAAUAACUUUAAACUCAAAAUUUAUCAACACAAGCGAGACCAAAACACCGACAUAAUAACACAAAUAAUGUGUAUAAUACGAGUCAAAAGUUGUUCCAAAAGUCAUCAUAUCAACAACAUUUAGAUUUAUGAACUUCACCUAGUACAUGUGAAUCCAUGCUAGCCAAGGUCAAACAUGUUUGUCCAAAAAACCCAAAAAUACCCAAAAAAAAAAAAAAUGAAAUGAGGAGGACAUUAAUUUAGCUAUACAAAUCCUUGACAUUGCAAAGCGGAUGGCUUUAAACAUGAUCACUAUCUACUCAACAGGGAGACAAGAAAAAAUACAACUUACAAAAGAUAGGCCAUAACAAACCAACCCUUCUGUAAAGAUACAAGAUGUGUCAACAAACAUAACACACGGCAAGCAAAACGGUCCUUUAACGAAUCUUCAGCGCAGCGGGAUCAUCUAUCAAUACAACUUAGAAGUACAACUCAGAAGUACAACAUCCAAGCACUAACACAAUCUGCACCGUUUGUUAUCUCUGGUCCAGUUCAGAACCAAAAUUUGAUACUCCAUUAGAGCUGUCAAACUAUGCAUGCCAAGUUCUGUUACUUAAGAAAUUAGCAGACAACAUGGUAAGCAGGAGGUUUUAUAGGAGAUAAAAAGUUACAGGCUACAGGUUGGACCCCGGCCGCAGUUUCCAAGCGUUCCCAUGUUAACCUUCGCUUCUCAGCUGCAGCGCUUGACCUUAGAUUUUCCUCCUCCAACUUACAUUGGCAGGCAAUUACCAGCUCCUCAUCCAUAUCGCAAAAUGUCUUCUUCAUAUUCAGGGUCAGGUUCAGCACCGCUUGAUUCCAGUGGUGUUGGGUGUUUCGCUCAAUAGCUGGGAAGACAAGCGGCAAGAUCACCUGGCGGUUAUGUGCGACAAGGUUAAGGAUGUGUUCAUUGUUCCACAGCAAGUGGGCUCGUUCAGCCACCUAAAACAAAAAAAUGUGUUAUUGUUUAGAAGCAUCAUCAGUUGAAUGAUCUAGAUCAUGCUAACGUAUAGUUCUUUACGAUCAAGCAAGCAAAUUUUCAGUCAAACAGGGGGUUCCAGUUUAUGCAGUAGAAUAUUACCUGGUAAUGAAAACUAUUAAGGCAGCAUCUUAUCCGCCGGAACAGGGGAACCAUGAUCCUUUGAAAUUCGUCCAUGCUAGUCAUUUCCAAAACCUCUUCUAACUCGCUUAAAAACAUCAACUCCUUCUGGCUAUUUGUUACAGGCCAGUACUUCAACAAGCCCUUUAUUACAGUACUCGCCAAUUUCGGAUCCUUAUCUAUAAACUGUACAACACAAUAUGUCAACUGCUGAUGAUAAAUACCCACGGACUUUGGUUUGUGUAGAGGAAUCAGAGCCCUCCACAAAAAUAUCUUGUGUUCCUCCUUCAGUGGCAAAGCAAACCCACUAAUUACACUUCCAAAUAUCUCCAACAGCUCAGAAAUUCCAUUAUGCCUUUCAGUUUCGAAAACAAAACGAUAUAUGAUAUUGCUUACAGCUUUCCGGAUAAAUGGUCUGUGUACCAUGAACUUUCCAUAAAUCCUAUGCAGAAUGGUUUUCAAACAAUCUCUUUCUCUUGGGUCCUCAGAGUCAAAGAGGUCAAGUAAUUUUACGAUAAAAGAGUGAUCCACAUGCUUUUUUGCCACCUUUACAUCAAGUGAACUAUAACUGAUAAACCGAACCAGAAGAUCAUACACAAUUUGCAGAUAUGACCAAGCAGGAUCAAACAUUGGUUCUUCAUCUUCUGUUUCACCGCCAGUAAAAUUAGAUCGAUACUUAGGUGGGAAAACUCUAAAUAGGUUGACUGCACACAUUUUACACACUGCAGAAAUUGCUGGUUCAGUGAACUUCACAGUCCCAGAAGAAACAUAAUCAACAAGUUCUAUUAAUGUUUCACGUUUGAGAUCUUGCUUAACUGGAUCGCUGGAAUCAACGAACUCACAGCAAAGGUUCAGCUUGCUGAUAAAUAGAUUAUGCUUCUGUGGGUUUGAAACCUCCUUGAAGGAUAGAUGGGGCUCCACUGCCUCAGCUCCAGCUGCAAUGCUUGAUGGGAAAACUGCUGAAGACACCCGCUUGACAACAUUUAAUUUGCUUGUAAGAGAACUCCCACCAAUUGUACAUGGGAACCCACUCCCCAAAUUGGAAGUAUUGCUGCCAGAAUCACUCCCUAUAGAAUCUAGUGAAUCACACUUUGACGACUUGCGAGGAAGUUUGCUUAGGAUUUGCUUCAGCAUGGUGGACCCUGCAUAAUCCAACCAACAUUUAACAUGGCGAAAUGUUGUAGCAAUCAAAUCAAUACAUCAAUACAUCAAACCUUCAAACAAAAUAUCUUCGGGCACAUCAGCUACAAAACCAUCCACAUAUAUGGAGUGUAACCAUAGUACUACAAUGUCCCGCAAAGGGAUUACACAACAAAGCAAUAUAAGACUUCAACUGUGUAGGUGGUAACGGGAAACGAAAAACAGACUGAGCGGAACACAACUUGCGAUGAAAUUGAAGCCGUUUAGAAGACAACUUCAGUUAGUCCAUGGACUGUUAAUUUGUCUAUUAGUAAUCAUCAAAUCAGAGUAAUAUCUACAUGACUGCAUUUCUUCAGUAAAGUUCAGAACAAAAGCAUAUACAAGUAGCAAGUGAACUGAAUCUUUCACCCACCAGAUCAAACUCAAAAGCAAUCAAUUCAAAACAUGAAAAAUUUAUACACCAAUAAAAAUCUAACAAAUACUUCUAUCUUACUAAAGAAGAACAUCAAUCUGACCACAAAAGAAACAAACACUACAGAAAGAAACAAGUUAAAAACAAGUCUCUAAUUAGCAACGAAUUAUAAGAUAAUAAAUGCCUAUAAAGUUAUUAGAUUUUGGUACAACAAACAAUGGAAACUCAGAUCUGGCACAAAAACAGAAUAAUAACACAGAUCUACACCAACCCCAGAUCACAAUUAUCAUAAAACCCUCUUGAAAAAUAAAACUUGGGCACGAUCUAGACAAUGCACAAACAAAAUUCAUCAAGAACAAGAAUUUGAAGUCUACCCAAGUUAGCUAAACUGAACACAAACAUUCAAGGAGAGAGAAACCUGUUUUGGAGCUUCUGGGUGUGCUUGUAAAAAACACAGAGAGACCCUUUUUAGCAAAUGAGAGUAGAGGAGGAGGUCAUGGUAUCCACAAAACUACCCAAAAUGUAAUUUUGGGUGAGAAAUGAAAAAGCAAUUUACUUUAGAACAAAGGGGAAGAAAAACAUAAGGCAGGCAGCAGAGAGAGAGAAAAAGAGAGAGAGAGAGAGGCAGUGUUUGGCUGUGAAAAAAAUGAUGUUUUGAUCCACUAUCUCCCUUUAUGUUGGACCAAAAGCUUAAGCUAGAGGGCUUCCAUGGGAGAUCAAUACGAGAUCAAUACGAGGUCCUCGAUUGAAAAGAAGAGGCGGUGUGGCAUUUUCUGAGAAUUGCAGGCGCCGGUCUCCACCCAACAAAAAUAAAGUUUUAACACUUUCAGUUGGUAGAGAAGAAAAAAGAAAGAAACUAAACUAUAUGAACAAAAAUAACUAUUUGAGAAAUAUUCCUUAAGCUAAGCUUGGCUGAGCUGAAUAAGAUCUGGAUUGGAUUUUCAUUUGGUAAAAAGCAUUGCUAUUAUUGUACUUGUGGGGCACCGAAAGCGGCCUUCUUGUGUACCAUGUUAGCAGUAGCACCAACCCAACUCUUGUGUGUUGUUCCCUUUCUAACUGAUAUUUUUGUUGGUCCAUUUGGUUUACUUAUGUUUGAUUAGCCCUAAACAAAGAAGAGGGGUAGAUGGAGAGGAGGACUACUAACCUCUUCUAAUGAUGUUAUUAUGACCGUAUCUCUUAUGCACUGAUAUAUUUUAAGUCGCAAUUUGGGUUAAUGCAUCAGAUAUUGAAUAUGUCAUAGUGUAAGUCCGAACAUGCGUUAUUGACUUGAGAUACCUUCACAUUAGUAUCUUACAUAUAAUUAGAUGAGGCAUAGACUCCCCAACAUAUAUUGUACAUACUCUUUUUAACCCAGUUGGGUUAUUUAGGUAACUCAACUUUUAUAAAGUGUUAUCAUAAAAUGAGAGAAUCCAACUCAUGACCUCUAAUGAUAAUACUAAAUUCUAUUAACAAACUGAGUUACAAUUUUCUUACUUGAAUAACUCGGCUUAAGAUCUUGCUUUGUAAUUUAACUGUGAGCCUAAUGCGUUUAAUCAUUGUACGAACUUCGUGGCUUUAAUUAUUAUAAGAGUAACUUUUAUUAAGACAAUAUGUGAGAAUUAAAAAAAUGUAUAUGGAUAGCACCACCUUUUUAUUAAUGUAUUUCACUCUUCAAAUUCCAUAGGGGUGAUUUUAAAAAAGAAAAGGAACCAUAAUGCAUGUUGGCCAAUUUAACAAAAGGUUAAUCUUUUGAUUUGUUCAAUUGUUCCCCAAGACAAAUUAUGGGAUCAACAUCAUAACUAAAUGACAAAAUAUAGUGCCAAGUCUUGUCCUACCCAACAGGGUGCCCAUCAAUUAGUUGGUAAGCAGAAAAAAUGUGUAUUAAACAAAAAUAAAGCAAAGUUAAAAUAAUAAAAGGUUGGAGUUUGCUUAUCGGCUUUGAGAAGCAAAGAAGACCAAAUGAUUCACAUAACAAUAACUUUGUUUCCAUUUAACUUCAAUCUCAUCCGUUAUAGUGAACUUUAUUUACAAAGUUAUGUUUGCCUGAUGACAUCCUAAUAACAACAAUAAAAUCUUAUUAUAAUAAGUGAGGUUGACUUUAUAUAUGAAUCUUAGAACGUCACUACACUUGAUUUUGCACCAAAUAUUCCGUUAACUCUAGAUACUAUAAUUAAUUGGCUCCCUGUUGGGUAGAACAUGGCUUUGCAUUCUAAGAACGUAAAAAUAUUUUUGCUCUUUACGUGUGAUGACUCAUUUUUCUUUAUUAUAAUGUUUAUAUUGUGAGAGUUACACUUAAUAGUAAGAACGGUGUCCGUUUUCUUGUAUCCAAGUUCGGAAAGGUUAGAUAGUUUACAUGAAGGUAUUGAAUUGGGAGAAUUUAACAGCAAAAUGCACAUGACUUUGGCUCGGUACAAGUACUUAUUAAGGACAAGAUGAUAUUGUCCAAAAAACAAAAGCUGGUGCGCAUUUCUGGCAUAAACUAAGGAAGCUAUUAUUACUAACCAAAUGAUCAAUUUGCAGUAAAAGUAGUAGGGCAGAGUACUUUUACUGGUGCAGCUGUAAUUACCAUCAAAGUUUCACUGAAUAACACACCUAAAAAGAGGGGGGGAAAAGGUACAGUCAGGUUAACCUCUCUCUUAUUUUUCUGACUGAAAUGGCUUUAACAAGGAAAAUAGGGACACCUGAAUUGAGAUUUUCUCUGUAUUUCACAGUUCGAAGCUAACAAAUUGAGUACUUUGGAUCAUUUAUUUUAAAUUUUACGGUUUUUAUUAGUCUAUCUUAUCAGUCUGCCACAUAAAAAUCAAGGGUAUGAUCUUCAAAAUUUCUUCUCCCUCUUUUGAUUUCUUCUCCCUCUUUUGAAUAGUUUGAAUUACGCAAUUUGUCUGCUCUGAACUACAGGAUAUGAAUUCCAUCUAUAUAUGCACAUGAUGACUCAGGAAGGAAUCUGAGUCCUUGGAGCUGCAAAAUGAUUACAUCAAAUUAUUAUAUGACUACCUUUUAAAAGAAGAAAUAAAUAAAAUGAAAUUAAAAGGGAUUAUCUAUUUCUACUUUAACCGUGCAGGACGCCAUGUACGGUGUACCUAUCCCAACGGCAUCUGAACUUUUCAUCAACCGAAUACGCUUGCAUGAUUCUAUAAACAUCCUGCAAUUAAUUGGAACAAAAAAACAAAGAAGAAAACGUAUGGUUAUACAUAGGUUUAGGGUUUGACAAAUCACAUGAAAGCAAAUUGCAUAACCAAACUUAAAUCUGGAAAAGAAAAUAGAAGUACGAUGAACAAGAAAUAGACCGAACCCUAGUCACACGAAAUGGCUCUAUAUUAUUUUAUGCAACAACAUUAAUCAAGACUCUUAUAGUUGAUGAAAAAUCAAUCAUAUAAUAUUUAAAAUUACAGUUUAUUAUAUGAUCGUUCCACUAACCAAACUCCACUAACGCUAAAGAUUUGGCCAUUUAGAAGGCUGGUGGGGAUUUGAAUUUGGGUCGCUACUAUGUAACACUUUGCCAACUCAACUAUAUAUAACCAUGAGGAUUAACAUGCACAUGGUACUCUUGGCUUGCUACAUAUAUACUUAAACACUAACUAAUUUUAGUUAUAUGAAAUGUUUUGGCAGAUUUGUGACAAACAUGCAUAUGUAGCACUUCCAGUCCUUUUAAAAAUACUUCCAUACGAGCCCGUAGGUACUGGUAACUUACUUCCAAGGGACGUCUCCAACUAACAUCCAGUCUCCAUACUUGUCUUCAUAUGUCAGCACAUAUUGAUCCAUUCCUUUCAAUGCAGGUUUCAUAACCUCAUUGCUAUCCUCAAUAUACUUACCUAAUUAAAACAUUAUCCAGAUUAAUUACUAACCUUGUAUUUAUUAAUUAGAGCUUGUAUCACAAAUUUAUAUUGGUAUAACAACUAGUUAAUUAACUAGCGCUAGCUAGAUUUUAGCUUAAUUAACUUUAUAAUACUCACGGCAUAUGGUUAAGAAGUGAACAUUUGGUCUAAGGCUGUCAAUAGCUCCUGAUAACUUUUGUACUCCUCCAAGUCUAGUUUACGCAGAUAAGGAGCUCCAUCUGCACUCACUUUUACAUUCUUUCUGCUGCUCUCCACCACCACCAACGCCUUCUGUCUCAUCGAUCUUACCGGCGGCCACCCAAUUAUUCUUGCUCUGAAUAUCAAAACCCCAAAUACACAGUUCGUUAGAUAAAGCUGAAAGGAAAAUGUCGACAAGCUAAACAAGUAUGAUGAUUUAGUCAACUUUUGACAUGGAUAUAUAAUUCUUGGAUUACAAUUUUAAAACUGAACGAUUUGAUAUCACACAUCGGAACUAUGCAUGUACGAAACAACAUAGACAAGUUAAAACAAGGACAUGGGUCCUCUCCAAUCUUUGCUUUGCAGCUGGGGCUUUGAUGACGGCGGGAGUAGUUGUAGAACUACUACUUGAUAAUGAACUGCCACGUGGACCGCUACAGGUAGAGCUUUUCUGUAGGCAAAUCUGAUCAACGGUCUCCAUGAACCCACGUUUCAUCGAGCUGCCACUCCAAAGACACGAUGAUGAUCAUAAUGACGUCGUACCAGGUAACCCUAAGGUGAGCUCAGUGUCCUUAAACUCCAUGCUUUCAUUUGCUGACAUCAGCUUUCCGGUCGGCCGGCUAGUACUGUGUGAACUUAUGCAGGUUGUUUGCUUUGUUGUUACAUACAUAGAGAACAGGAAGAGUGGAGGUAGAAAAUUUCGAAGGAGGAUCUCGCCGGAUCUCUUUCCUAUGGAUCCUAGCGAUUUCGCAAUUAUAUCCGUUCAUCGUAUAUUGUGCGAUCGAUUUUUGUUAGGUAUUAUUUAUAUUUGAAUUUUAAAUUUUAAAUUUUAAAUAAUUUAUAAUCGUACGAUGUAUAAUGAACGAAUAAGAUUGCAGGAUUCUUAGAAAAGGGAUCGGCAAGGAUCCUUGUUUGAUUAUUUCAAUGGCACGAGGGGGGGGCGAAUGAGGAGAGUCCACGUGGGGUCAGGUUCAUGCAUGGCUUGACAGUAGCAGCAUAGAAGUUUGUGCCGGCUGUCGGUUCAUCCAAUCCGAUUCAGUUUCUGUCACUCCCUCUGAAUCGACUUCCAUACAUUAUUACCAAAAUUACCAUAAUGCUUUAGAAAUUCCACAUCUUCAAUUGUACAAAUUGGAGGAAAUUCUGUAGGCAUUAUAAGCAAAAGUUACAUAGGGAAUUAUUGAAAGGAUGUGAUAUCACACAUUUCUUUUUACUUUUUACAAACAUUUUUAAUUUUCGGCCGUCGGAUCGGAUGAAAUAAAGAAGAUCAACGGACAUAAAUUAACAAGGGGUGUGUGAGAAGUAAAAAUGGGUGUGUGGAUAACACAUCCCUUAUUGAAUAUGUUAUAAAUACGCGUGAUAUAAUUUAAGUGAAACAGUAAUGUUACGUAACAAUAUUUUGUUUUGGUUUAUGAAAAAUUAUUCGUGCUAAUUGUUGUGCAUACAUAUAUAAUUCCAUUAGGAUAAUCCAAUUAGCGUAUAUCCUAAUCCUCUUUUUGUAUUUUUUUGGUAGAUAUUAUAUCGCUUAAAUAUUUGAUUUAGAGAAUCAUAGUAUUUCUCUAGGAAGAGGAUAUUUGAAAUGUGAAAUUUGAAGCCUCAAACAUUAGGGAGAAAAAAGCUCAAACAUCAGGGAGAAAGAUGUAACUAGACGAAAAGUUUGUGUAAUUGAUAACAUCAUAUGAAUUCGAGUUUUCAACUCUUAUUGGGAUCUUGCCAAACAUACGCAAUACUUGAGCAAAAUUAAUUAUUGAGCAAAAUAAGGAUAGAUAUACAUCUAUUUAUAUAUCACAUUUAUGAAUCACUUAAUACGACAAUUAAUGUGGUAGAUCACGUUAUCUGCCAUGUCAGAAGCUUGUCUUAGUUAAGUUUCUAAUAUAUAAUGAUUGUGUGACAUAUGGUUAUCAAACUUUUUUUUUUUUUUGUGAACAUAAGUUAUCAAACUUUAAGGAUGCAUAAGUGUAAUCUUAAUUUAUCACCAUGGAUUGAAUCUAACGAAUGAUCUAACUCGGUCUUUCAAAACUUGGAGAGGAAUAACUUUGACUGCAAAGAAGCCGAUUACAUUGUCCACGCCAACGGGUCUAAAUCCACAUCUUUGCCUCCUUUAAAAUUUGAAAGACUUAUAAUAUACUUUUUGUUCAAGGACAACAAAAAUAUUUUCUAAAAACACAAAAAAGUAUAUAGCCGUUUUCACAUCAUCUCCUUCGUUUCCUUCUCUUUAAUCACAAAACCCAUACAAUAUGUGAGUAUUUCAUGAAAAAAAGGUGGUUUUGAAGUCGAGACAUUUAUUGACAACAAAAAUAAUUACUUAAGCUGUUUUAUUAUUAAUAAUAUAUUAAUCCUUCAACCAACUUGGAUUACUAAACUCACCUCUCAAAAUGUAAAAUAAAACAGGACGUUACUUAGUACUACGUUCUGAAUGUAUUAUUUUUAUGUAUAAGUGAGAGAUUUUAAGCUCAAUUUUUGUCAAAACAAAUUUGAACCAAUUUAUUAUAACUAGCCAUUGUAAAACUUGAUUCACGCUUCAACCCCUUAAUGUAAAUAAUAUGGUAAGUUUCAAAAAAUGUAAAUAAAACUAUACAAAGUGCGGGGUGGGGGGUGGGGGGGGGGGGACUCGUUGACUACGAAUUUGGAUCCUCUCCUAAGCCAAUGGAGAGGAUCCUCCUAACCAACCAUUGUGGACUGUUGGAUUUUUAUCCAAUAACUACAAACAGAGAAAUCCUUUUAAAGUUAUAAUAAUUACAGUUGGUCAGGAGGAUCAUCUCCAUUGGCUCAGGAGAUGAUCCAAAUCCGUUGACUACAGUUCCCAAAUUAAGGAUGAAAUAAGUCGACAAGCAUGUGACAAGUGUUGGAAUGUCGAAAUCGUGUUGCCUUCCAAUUCGUUGAAUUGAAAUCCAACAAGUGGCAGCCACUGAAAAUGAAAAUGAAGAUGCCUAUAUUGCUAAGGAGGCAGAUUGUCUGUCCUCCUCUUUGGGUGCCCUUCCGAUCCUCUCAUAUUUUGUGCGAUCACGGUUAAACUACGUCAACAUUUUAUAUUAAUUUUUUAUAGAGAUAAUAAGACAAAAAAUAAUAAAAAUAUAAAAUAUUGACGUGGCUUAACCGUUACCGUACAAAUAAGAAAAGAUAAGAAGGGCACCCAAAGAAGAGGGCAGACAAUCUACCUCCAUAUUGCUAAACCAGCGCGCAGCUUUACACGACCAGUAGCUUUAACUUUAGAUUAGUUGUUAAUCUUCUUUCUUUUUCUUAUUCCAGUUAAUAUUUAAUUAAACAUUUACUUAAACCCUUAUUCAGUGUUCACCGCUGAAAUCUCACUAGUAUCAAACAUUGGCGAGAUUCCUAGGAUUAGACAUCAGUCAUCUAAUUCAUAGUUAUGGAUUCAGAAUUUUUUCUUCUUCUUGAGAUCAACUUGAGAUCAAGAUGAAGUUCACACGCUACGUUUACUAGUUACUCUUGACUCAUUACCCUGCCUUAGCCUCUUAGGGGCAUUUAGUUAAACCUUUUGAGUCAUACUCAAAGGCUUGACAAAAGGGUUGUAUUUGUCGUGUUCGUGUUGUUUUGUGUCAUACUCGUUAUCUAAACGAGUCGUGUGGUGUCAAACUAGUUACCUUAACUGGUCUUAAUAGGUGACCCGAAAACGAAUUGGUAACGAGUUCUUAACAAGAAAUAACCUGAUAACAACCCAUAACGGGUCAUUUAGUAUUCGGGUAGCAAAUCAUGCAAGAAAUUGUCAAGCCUAAUCUCUAGAUUUGGCUAACGAUAUAUCAUUAGGUUCUUAACGGAUGAUUCGAUAACGAUCCGAUUCGUUAACAGGUUGACCUGAAACCUAUUAUUUUCGUAUUGUUUCGUGUCGGGUUAACGAGUUGUGCAAGAAAUUGCCAAACUUACUCUAAGAUACCAUCAACUGAAUAGCGGGAAGUGAGAGCAAUUGCAUACAUAAAAGUUUACAGUGGAUCCACGAGUGUAGUCGUAGUUAUGUAGAAUUUCAUAGAAUGAUUCAAAGUUUAAAUUAGUUGGCAUGCGAUGGUAUAAUUAAUAACCAAUGUAUUUGGUUUUGCGCCAUCCAAUUUCAAUUAAGCAAUUGGAGAAUGAUGCCUAAUCAUGUGAGGUCUCAUGCAGAGUUUUGAGCUUUCAACCUGUACAUGUGCAAUUGUGCAUGCAUAUGAGUUGUAUUAAGAACAAAACAAAGCCAUUAAAUAUAUAUAUUUUUUCCUCUAGUUUUAAUUGUAGCAUUUUAAUUUGGGCUUUUAAUAGUUUUAUUUUCUUCACAAUAAUAUGGGCUUAAAUCAAACACCAACAGGCACAGACAACUUCAGGUAGAAUACCCAAAUCAAUAACCUUCACCUGUAGCCAAAAAAGUGGGGUACUUUUAAAUUUAUUCAUUUGUUAUAAAUAGGUAAAAGAGAGACAACUUUUGUUAGAGAUCGAAGUAGAACAUGAUUAGUGUAUCACUCUGUCACAUUCUCUUUACUUGUGUUAGAUAAGGGAAAUAAAUAUAGAAGGAAAGAAGCGAGAGACACUUGUAGAAUUUAUUUCUGCAAUAUGAUUUGAUCUUUUGUUGUUUUGUAAGAAAAAUGUGUUGUUUAUGGUAUUUCGGAGUCACAAUAUAACUCUUUUAUAUAGGCAAAAGUCACAGAGACAAACAACCAAAAUCUUAGUUUUCCAAAAAAAAAAAAAAAAAAAAACCAUAAUCUUACGGAUAUGACAAUCACAAAGCAAAGACGGUUGUAGCAAAUAGUAGGUAAAAGCUUCUCCAUCGCAUGUGGGGCAUCCAUAUUUACAACAUUAUUUGAGUUUUACCACAAAUAAUCUUUUAUACCAAUUCAUUGAUUUUCUUCAAAUAAUCCUUUAUAUUCUAUACUCAACAAUUUGGUCUAACAAUUCACAUGGCACAAUGUGAUUGGCUUCCUAGAUCCCGUUUUUACGUCACAUCAGCUCGUUAACAAUUUUUAAUGAACUAAAACAACAAUGACGAAAUUGAUGAGUUUAGAACAUAAAAGACCAAAUUGACAAGUUGAUAAAACAUUAAUGAUUUGUGAUAAAAACUCUUUAUUUUCCAGCUCAAAAAUUUCAAUAAAAAUAUUAGCAAAGCCUAGCUAGAACAGUAUCAGGACAAAGUCCAGUCGACCAAGACAACAUUGAAAUAUCCUUUAUGUAAGUGGUGCGCUAAAAGUUUAGACUGGACAAUUGUGUCUCUUCUAGUCUUUGAAUUGCAUAAAUCAAAUAAAAAUAGAGGCAAACAGAAAUGUACACGAGCAAAAUGGGUGUUCGGAAAUCAUUUUCCGGAAGAAAAAUGGCGAUUUUAAUUGAGAAAUAAAAAAAUAAAAAAUGCGAUGUAGAGAGUGCAAUACAAGAGGAGGUCAUUAUUCACAAAGACACCAAUCUUCCUACAAAACGAUCCAAAUGUGAACUAAUGAAAAAAUUAAGCCAUAUCUAACUAGAGAAAAUGACAAAAAUAGUCUUGUCUUUUGCCCAGUUUACCAAGACGAUUAAUCUGGCGUCAGGAUAAAACACCAAAGGUUCCCAGUGGCACAAACCAAUAAAAUUACAGGCACAAAACCACCAUGGCCGGGUGGAGUAACGACGCAGACUACUAGGGCGGGGAGAGAGACGGGGAGAGCGCGAACCAGAGCAAGAGAGAGGGAGAGAAGAAGAAGAAGAAGAGUACACAAGGGCUAAUUACAAAGGGACUACAUUUUAUCCUUUUUCCAAAGAUGACAGAUGGGAAUAUAUAUAUAGGGUGAAGAAACAUAUUUCAAUCCGAGAAACAUGAGAAGGUUUGUACACAAGCAAUGGGCACAAGCCGAGGGGACGGGUUCUGUCCCAGCCAUAACGAACCCAAUGUUUUGCUAUGCGCUUUCUGCUGGAAGAUGACCCACAAUCCCAAGAUUGUUGGCAUAUUUGGGCCUCCACUCAGUCCUUCCCCUCACAAUCUCAGCCCCAUCCUCAAGUCGAAGCAUGUGCUGGCACUCCACCGUGCCAUUACUUCCCAGGUUGCCGAUAUCAGCACCUGAGACUGCAGUCAGAGACUGAAGCACACUGUCCCUCCCGCACUCCCUCCUAUACUCCAGAGUCAAAGAAGAGAGCUCAUGACUCUCCAGGAUUGGCAAGGGAGCACCCUGCAUCAACCAGAAUCAUCUUUCAGUUAAAGAGGUGUGCAAUAGUAUAAGAUGUAAAUAAGGAACGAUCAUUAUCCAAUAUCCAUCCAAAAUCUCGAUGUAACAUAGCCGCUAAUUACUUUUCAGCUUGGUAUGUAGGUUCAACUUAAAAUCAGCAAACCUACUAGUACAACUUCAACUAAUGGAAAGAAAAAAAUUCCAUUGAAAAAAGUCUACCUCAAGGAUCCAGCCAAUGUACUUCACGUUAUUAACGUGCUGGUUGACAUCUAAAUCACUCCAUCUAGGCUGCAAAUUGAGGGGGAAAAGGAAACAUAAAUAGAAAAUCUUUCGUAGUGAGCAAGCAGCUAAAAGAAACGCGUGAAUUAUGUGCAAAGAUGGUUGACUUACAGUCAAACCAGAGAGAACAACGUCCGCUGUUUUGUCAUCAAGUUUCGGCAGUUUCCUGCCAUCUUCCUCCACAACAGGAGGAGAAUUCAUAAAAAAGGACUCUAUUUCACCGCGAACUGCAUCAGGCAUCUUUGAUAAUCUCCUCGUCACUUUAUUCAUCAUCACCCACACACUGCAAAACCAAAAGGGAAAACAACGGCCAUACAAAUCCCAGUAAGUUACUCUUUAAAACACCAUUUAAUUGUGCAAGAGCACCAUAUUGCUGAUUGAAUUGCCAAAAGCUACCUUGGAUCUAUAAUAUAGAAAACAUAUCUUAGACUGUAUAACAAUUACCUGGAGGCUCUUGUUAGAAUUUGGCCAGUUUUCAAAUCCUGGAUAAUCCAAUCACGACGCAUUCCAUUCUUCCCAGAGGCACUAACCCAAGUGUCAACUUGAACAACGUCACCCCUGCAAUAAAGAAGCAAUUUGAGUCUAUCAGCAUAAUUGUCCAAUCAAAUUAAUGAGUGACAAAUCCUCCCAUUCAGAGAUAAGAGUUAUAUAUAGUCAUCAGCUAUAACAGAUGGUAUAAAACUUGUCAAUUUUAACCUAGUUGGGCAUAGAAAUGAUGUAUUAGUGCAAGUUAAUUAUGUUCCCAAAGUCGUCGAUACUUUAGCACUCAUUCUUAUAUUGAGAAUUUUGAAUAGUUAGCUUCUGCCUCUAGUAUCUUCCUCUUCUAAAACAAUACAUCAACUCGCUAGAAUCAGAAUGCAAAUGGAUAUGAAUACAUAAUACAUUCAACCUUUAUGCCAAAAUCAUUACAACAUAGAAAGACGAAAGAAAAUAGGUAGCCUUCAGACCUUGAAUACACAGUGAAGAGAAAAAAAAGAAUAUUAAUGAGAAAUUAGCUCCGCCUAUCUACAAAUAACAUUUUGAAUUACUGCAAUAAUGCAUCAACAGUGUGCUUGUGUUUUUUCCAAACACCAAAUUGAAUAGUAACUUUUGAAGUGUCCCCACUACUAUUCAAGGCUAAUCUUAAAAUUAUACAUAAUUCAUACAAUAGAUAACGGCAUAGCAGAACCAACAUAAAUUCCAAAAUAGUAAAGUCAAUCAACCCAAAUACAUAAAUGAACAAGUGACCAGGCAAAAUAAAGAGUAAACAACUUUUCUAGCAGAAGAGCAAGAUGAAUGUGACUUACCAAGUAGGAUAGCGGUCUACCACAACCUGCAUCUUCGUUACCACCCAUAUCAGGUUUCUUACAGUCAUCUCUGGAGUUGAACCAAAACCAUCUCCCAGAAGUCCAGCAGUCUUAACAUGAUUAAGUGCUGUUUCCUGCAGCCCAAAAAGAGAAGUAUGUAAUGACAAAGCUUGUCAGGAAGAAAAUGCACUCAAGCUCAAGAACGUGAACCAGUCACAGAACAUGUAAUUUGUGCUUCAAUCUCCUUAACUACAAACUGAAUUUGAAUUUGUCAAAAACUAUAACAUAGAAAUCAAAUUUGUCAAAAACCUGUAAAUGAUUCAUUAACGUCUCUAUUGAAGCCGUACGAUCAGCACCUAUUUCAUAUGAUCUAAUUGAGAAGUUCUGGCGAAAGACAAGACCAUCCUGAACAAUUCGUCCUAGACCAAAUGGGUCAAUGAGCAUGUCAGGUCGCUUGGGUUUCCAAUCAAGCAUUGUCCAUUGCUUCUCUGCAGCCAAGAAGAUUGUGGUAAUAGCAGCAAGGAGCACACUCCAAUCAGGUAAUUGGUUAAUGAAAGUCCGUGCCGGAGGGGAUGAAAUGUCAUCCCCAUGCUUCCCACUUUCCACGGUUGCCAAACCAACACUAGUUCCAUUUAUCUUUGAAGGGGCUUGAGCAUUUGCCUUUACCUGCAAACCACCAGAUGCAGACUUCGAUUUGAGUCCUAAAUUGGCUGACCCAAGCUUGGCGUUCUUGGCGCUUGAGUCUGAGUUGGGAGAAGAAACCGGAAAGAACGAGGCAGUAGCAGAAGUGGCAACCAUGAUGACAAUUGGAUCAGAGCAAAGAGUCACCGAUCCAAGCACUGUAACAGUAAAAUUCCAAAUUUGUCAAUGUAGUUUCACAUGGGAAUACAAAAAUAACCAAUCUUCAGCAAUAUGCACAAAAUGCCGGCAUGUUACUACUGCGGGCAUAAUAGCCAAUUGCCAGGUAGCAACUGACACCAAAACACCGACGGUAACAUAAUUUGAACAAAAAAUGAGAACAAUUCCUUCCCUAACUAAUUAGGCCAAUAACACCACCUGAUUCCAUACUCAGAAACCAACGAAAAAGCCAAAAGAAUUUGUACUGUGCAAUUAUCAUUUUUCGUUUAUUUGUUUGGGAGAAAGCAGUCUAGAAGACAACCCAAUUCAGAAACUUAAACAAGACUCAACAUUCAAAAUUUGAACAACAUAUUCUCCUUACAAAACCGAAAAAUAGAGGAACUAAACUAAAAAUUACUCUAACCCCAUAAGAGCUAGAAAUUAAAAUUUUCAGCAUAUGUUUCAAUCAUCAAUGAUUGUGUAUAACCAAAAUCGAAAACACGAAAAAUUAACAAAAGUAUCAGAGAAGCCUAAAAUUGGUGAGAAAAAAUGCACAACCAGCUGAAAUUAUAAAACUUUAUCAGAACUUAAUCUGUCUAAAAAAACAGAAUUAAGAAGCACAAUGAUUGAUACAGCUACGGCCCACAAAAAAAACAAAAACAAAAAGAACACUUUCGGGAUAUAUGCAGAGAAAAUCAAGGCAGAUCUGAGCUUUUGCAUCAACACAAAUCCAGUGAGAAAUCACACAACAUUUCAUAUGCCAUACAAAUUAUUUACAAUACGAAAAGAGAACCAUUUUUCCACUUCGUUACUUCAAGCAAACAAAUUUUCUUCCUUGUCUGUUUGGUUGCCGAGAAAAUGCAGAAACGAAAAGAAAAACAAAUCAAAAUUUCAAAACUUUCUCACAUAGAUCUUCAAUUUUAACGGGCAGAGAUAACACCUCCCCCUCAAACGAAACGAAAAAAACAGAAACAACGCGGCAACAACAACAACAUUCCCAUUCAUUCCGCCUUACCUCAACUUUCUCGGCAACCAAACAGGCCCCCUCCGGAAGAAAUCGAGAAAGCUUUCUGGACCUCCUCCUGCCCUCACCUUAAACCAAACAAACACGAAUCCAGAGCAGAUGGAAGGCCUAUUGCGUCAUUCCGGAUCGGCAAAACCUCGAGUUCUGCGUAGUUUCCACGGUUUUCCGAUUCUCCUUCGGUGGUGGUAGUGGGGGUGGUGUUUCUUUUAGCUUUCGAGAGAGAGAAAGUGUAGAGAGAGAGAAAGAGAGAGAGAGAGAGAGAGAGAGAGAGGGAGGGAGGGGAUUUUAGGGCCAGCGGUUUUGUGGGUGGUGGGGAAUUGGCGUCCAGCGAGGGACUCAAUAUAUAGUUUCUCCACCUGGCUGUACGUUAUCCCGCCUCAUUCCAAACUUCUUCACCCGACACCAUUUUUCUUCUUUUAUUUACGUCUUUGCCACUCCCACCUUUUUUUUUUCAAUUUUUAUUUUGUUAAUCGGAUUUAUUAAUUUGCCAACAAUUACUGUUGAGUUCUUUUUUGGUUCAUUAUUAUUGUUGUGUUAUUUUGGUUUAACAUUAUUGUUAUUGUUGAGUUGAGGGACCUUUUAUGUUUUACCAAAUUGCAGAAAUUGUCGUUAUGGUGGGGUUAUAUGUAAAUUUUAGAAUAUAUGGUGGUAAAAAAAAAAAAAAAAAAACUCUUGAUGACACACAUGUGUGAAUAAGUUAUCAAUUUUAGUCCAAAUCAAACUUAACAUCUAAAUUGUUUAAUUUUUUUUUUUGUAAGAGAUCUUGUAACGCAAUUAGUUAAGAAUAUUCGUUGUUGCAUCAUCUUGUAGUUUAGAUGAGUUUAGUGUAUCAUCAUAUUGUUUGUCCAACAAAAAAAAGUCUAAUUCUGUCCAUGUAAGCCUCAUUUUUAAGAAUGGAAGAUCAUUUCAAGCCUAAUUUAAAGGUCAAACAAACAUUGCAUGCCUAAACUCAGCCAAGUUAGCUACAGUGUGAUCUACGUUAUGCAUUCAAUGUUCGAAGUUCUCUUCUAGGUAAGAUAAAUUGACUAUAAAACAUAACUUAUAAAUUCAAACAAAGUUCAAUGUCUGAAAACAACAUUUUCACUCUUGUAUGUGAACCACACAUAAACGAAUCUAUUCAAAAGAUAAAUAUCAUGACAACCACAAUUGCGAAUUCUCUUAAUACUCUUUGAAACGCUUCACUUUUACCAUACUUUGUAUUGAGUCAAUUUAGGAAAUUAUGAACACAUUAGUGAGUAGUUUAAUAUCACCAUCACGUUUGUUCAAAAUUUGAAACAUGUCAUUUUUAAAGGUGUAAAAGGGGCAAUUUGGACCCUCCCCUCAAAUUCAUGAUUCAAACAAUAUCCGUCCUUUAACUCUAAAACAAUGUUAAACUUGUGAUUAUCCAUCUUGUAACUUCCAAAAGUUAACAACAACAUCAUCCUAGCGUUAUAAUAAUACCUUUUUAAUUUAAAAAAAAACAUACAAAUUGUAUUUUGGGACAUAUAUUGGUUGAGCUACGUAUUAGCUCGAUGCCAAACUUGAACACUACAUUCCAUGAUACCCAUCUCUCAAAUUGAUGGUGAGUAGCUCAACCAUAUGUGUACUAAAUUAACAGUUGUAUUGCCAGCUCAAAUUGGUUUUGACCUCCAACGCGUUGGAGACCGAAGGAAUUACAUUCAUUCUCAAAUUGUUUAUAUAUGUAUACAAACAUCUAUAUAUAUACAUGGUUUUGACUUGUCAUAUGAUUAUGUGUCAUGUUACUUGAGGUCUUCAAAUAAUCAAGAUCCUCUUCAGAUUUCUGUGUUCGAAGAUGACGGACAUAAAGAUCUGAACCACUCAUUUUAAAUCAUAUGACCUUCAUUAAUACAUCUCAUUAGCCCACAUCACACAAAUUAAGGGUUCAGAUCUCUCUCUCUCUUGAACGGUCUGAAUUUCUCAGUCCAUCGACUUCGAACUGUGAGAUUCGAAGAAAAUUUGAAUUCGUAUUAAGAAACAAGUUUCAUUAAAAAAGUACACCAUUUUAAUUCUUCCAUCGACCAUCCCCCCAUCGGCCAUCCUCCAUCAGCCAUCCCCUUAACUUAACCCAGCAAUAUUACAAUUUUAUUUUAUUUUGUCAUCCUAUCCAUAAACUUUAAUUUAAAAUGUGUAUUGUUGAAAAACGUUGAUGUAUAUAUGCUUUUUUUGGUAAUACGAAAGGAAAAGGAAAGUCUCAUUUGACAAGCUCAAUGAACUUUGUUCGUUGGCUCAAGUUUUGACCCUUCAAUCUUGUUGGCUCACGCUACGUUUUCAUGCAAGCAUACUCCUCAAAAAAGUUACUCUAAACAAGUUAAUCUGCUCAAUAGAGCCAUAUCUGUGACGUAGAUCAACUUGAUCAAAAGAAAACAACUCUCGAUUCAACAACUUUUAUCACUUAAAUUUGCAUUCAAAGUUUCCUUCCGAAAAGAUGGACGACUACAUGCACGUACGUCAUUAUACUAAACAGUCAUCCAGUGCUUGUGCAGUGUUGAAUAACUUUUAGGUUUGACAAUGACACUGCUAGUGCUAAAGCAAAUCAGGUGGUGAUAUAACACGUACCAAACCACUUACAUGUAGACCUGUAAACGGGUCGGGUUUAUUGAGUUUGAUCGGGUUCAACUUGACCGGUUAAGUUAACAGGUCAUCCGAAUUCAACCCGUUAAGCUAACGGGUCACCCGAACCCGACCCCGACCCGUUAAGCUAACGGGUCACCCAUUUCACCCUUUAACACCUGUUAACAAUUAUUAUUAUUUUUUCUUUUUGCAUAGAGUUUAUAUUUUGUUGUUAAAACUUUAUUGAAAUUACUAAAACAUCCUCAACUAAAGGGUGUUAACGGGUGCUAACGAGUCUAAUGGGUUGACCCAAAGUGACCCGUUAUUUAACGAGUUGUUAACGGGUCGGGUCUGAUCGGGUUAACGGAUUAUGUUCAAAAUGCCAGGUCUACUUACAUGAUAACAUGCGUAAAACCAAACAUUUCGCAUCCUUGUUUUGUGAAUUAUGUGUAAUGAUCGCUUUAAAAUUUCUCGUGCUUGUGUUGUGAACUAACGUGUGCGUUUAUGGAAAAAUAGAAAAGAAAAAGAAAAAGCUAAUUAAUUAGACCGGUAAACUACAUGUUGUAUCUUCUGCGUGUGUUUGGCGCGUUGAACGUUAAGACGUUUCCUUGCUUGUGGACUGUGACGUGUGCGAAGCUGGUAAAACCAAGAAGUUUCUUUUCCGGCGGUCAAGGGCGGAGAGAACAACGGUGAAAAGACGUGCAACGGACAUAUACCAGUGGCAGUUUUGUGAAUAUCAGUGCAUGGAAAGGCAAACUUGGUAAAGCGAUAAACAGUUAGCGUAGCCUAACAAGGGAUUUAAUCCGUUAACUGUCCUCGGCUAUUUGUUCACUGGUCCCCAUGAUCCGUUCACUUACACAGCCUGGCAACCAGCAAUUAGGGUUUUGAACUUAUGGGAUACAACCUGGAUUUAUAACCAAAAAAUAAAUUAAAUAAUUUAGUAUAUGAAAUUAAAUUACGAUAUGAAUAUUAAUCGACUAAAAUUAUUAAUUAAUAAUGGUUUUAUUUUUCAUAGAAAAAUAUUUUCCUAAACCUUGCAAUAGAUUGAUUGGGAUAGUGUAUCCGAGAGCCAUGUGAGAUUGGAUAAGGUGGGGUUGCCAUCCGGUUAGUACGUAUUAAAAGUAAUACUAUAAUAAUCUAACAGAAAUGAUACGUACACACGUUCUAAGUUUGAUUCCUAAAAUUACAUGAUGAUAGUCAGAGGAGGAUGAAAUGUCUCCAUGAGUUUCUCCUUCCCCCCCCCCCCCCCCGGGCACCAGUUGGUCCAUUUAAAAAAAAAAAUUCUAAUAGAAAUUUUAUAUUAACUAUUAACAAUUAUGUUUACGGGUAUAACACUUCAAGUCAUGGGUUUUGCUGGCAAGAGAUGGAAUAAUAUGGAUUAAAGUUUGGAUAAGCUCGAUGUUUAAUGUCCUCCGAUGCAAUUUCGUUCUAAGUAAUUUAUAGUAAGAGAUGUAACGUGUCCUAUUUAUCAAGACAAGUGGCAGAUAUAAGGACUGAGAUUUUAUACGAAUUAGGAACUCAAUUAGGAAGAUGACUCUUGAAAGAUAAGCCAAACUAGGGUUAAUUAAGGGCCUUAAGGGCUUCGGUUUCAAAAUUUUAUUCUUCACACGGAACCUUAACCCUAUCUAGGAGAAUUUUGAAAUCGAAGCCUUAACCUAGUCUAGGUUUUACUAUGAGAUGAGAAUAUGAAUGCCAUGCGUGAUCGAGUAGUCAAUUUCCCAUAUAUAUAUAUAAAAGUCAAGAGAUACACUUUUGACGUUUUUUUUUUUCGUGGAGUUCAUUUUGUAAUGUAUUUUAACGAUUCAAAAUAUUUAUAUUUUAGUUAAUCAUUCAUAAAUCAUACUUGCACAAAAUUAGACAAAUCCAAAACCAUUAAAACAUACAUUCAUUUAUAGUAAAGAAAACGAACGAAUAUGGUCCUACAAAAAAAAACUAAAUUUAAUCCUACAUGCAGACAUAUAUGGCUUCAGAUUUAUGUGAUUUUUUUAUAGAUAUGAUAUUUGAGUUAAAACAUAAAAGAUAGACGGUUAGGUCUUUGAAAUACAUUACGGAGCGGGCUACACGAAAAUAUGUGUCAAAAUGUGUGUCAGAAGCGUGUAUCCCUGGAUUAUAACAUAUAUCUAAAUAUAAUUACCCAAAUCGAAGCCUUAAGAACUAGUCUAGGACGUUCUCUUAUGAGAGGUCACUUCCAUAUAUAAUAACAUGCAUACGCUCCAAUACAACAUGAACUCAAAGACAGAAUGAACUCGGAAAUGAAUCGAACUUGGAGGUGAGUGGCUGUGCAAAUAUGCACGUAAGAGGCUCGAUCAAUACUGAUCAUGAGGUCUACAGGAUAUAAAUCCACCGCUUCUAUGGGCGCUCUGGGUUUUCUGCUACCUGUCUGAAUAAUGUGCCUUCCUUUUAUUGUUCUCAAACAAUCUGAGACAGCCACGUACAAGCACAAUGCAUAGACUCCACAAAAGAAUAUGAGAGACCAAAGCCACAUUAUGCCAAAUUCAAUUAAUGUCACAUGAGCAUAUUUUCUAUUCUCAUCUACCAACCAAUUUCUCUGUUCAUCUAUUCAAUAUCGUUUUUAAUUAUUUGAAUGACUUAUAUAUGUAUGUGUUUAUAUCUCUUUGAGUGGUGAACCUUAAAAAAUAAAGAAAUGUUUGCAAUCCCAGAGUUCGAUUUGAAUAAUAAAAAUAAUUGAGAGAGAAUAGCACUAGGAGUCAAUGAAGACGGGUUAUUGGAACAAUUGACAUAACCGUAUGCAGAUCUAGAAUUCGAAGUUUAGGGUGCCAAUAUUAAAAGUCUGAAUGUCUUAGAUAGAAAAAUAUCGCGAAAGGCGAAAAAAAAAUUUAUUCACUAAAGCAUUUUGUUGAAUACCUUAUGGGUUUGUUGUCGUUAGCUAAAUUAAGUUGCGCACAUGUCAACAUGUAUUGACAUAUGCCAAAACAAUCUAAUGAGUGUUGUUGAGAGAAAUUAUCGAGUGUUGUCGAUGCAACCUGCCAGAGGCACUUCGCCAAACACUUGGGGGCUCAUGUAUAAGUGCUUUUAAAAUGACUUAAAACACUUUUUGGUAAAAUUGAUUUGAGUUCUAAAAGCACUUUUAAGUGUUUUUUGUAAGAAACAUCAAAUAUGUUAUUUUUGCAUGAAGCACUUAAAGUGUUUUUUAAGGAUCCACUUAAACUUUUACUAAGAAUUGGUCAUUUUCAUUAAAAACGCUUUCAGUUAUUUUAAAUGCACUUCCAAAUGAGUCAUUGAAGGUCACAAAAAAGAUUUGUACUAAACAUUCGAUAGGUCUAAAAGACCAUCACAUGUAAAUUAAUCAGACUAUGAAUAGCCCUACCACCUUAAUCCCAAUAUACAUUUGCCCACCGGUCACUACAACAUCUCGAAACAUGUUUUUAUACUGUUGUUACAUAAAACUUGUUGCUAUAACAAUAAAAAUUACAUUUGAUAAUUGUUGUGUUAUCUGUCUCGUCGGAACAACUACGUAGGAAAAAGUAGCUGUCCUGUCACCAUGCAUGCAAUUGAGCAACGUAAUGAAGAACACUGAUUCAUCUUAGCAACACGCUCACCAAGAACCUUAAAUUGAUUACUUGUUAUUGUUAUUUCGUGUGCAAACAAUUUACAAAUUCACAUUAAGUUCUAUUAUUUUAAACAAGAUCAGUCGCUUUUUUGUUUCAAAGAUGAGAAACGCAACACGAACUUGUCCGCUCAUCUUUAUAUUGAUGUUAACCAAUCACCGAAUGACUACUAUAAAUGAGUUCAAUAAGAGAGUUUCGGACUUUCAAUUUAAAGUAUUUAUUUAAGUAAAAAACAGAAGAAGAAAAAACCACAAGAAGUUAAAAAAAAAUAUAUUAACCAAAAGCAUAAUAUAACCGGAUGACCAGAGAAUACAGUCUGCAUGGGAUUAUAGGAUUGCAGAGACAUUGUCGGCACAAAUGAAAGAAAGCAAAUUUAGAGCACCUUUCAUGGCUUAAACAGAAAACACUCUUUGCCACACUUUGCCACUUGUCGGUGGUUUUUGUUGAGAGCAUCAAUCUUAUAUUGGGAAAAAAAAUGAUCAGUUUCAAGUUUAGUAUGUAGAUAAUACGGACAAUACAAAUCGAACGACUUGAAGCAUAUGUGAUCUUUGGGUUUCACACGAUCAACAACUUGCUCUGAUACUAUGAAAAAAUUUAAGGUUCCACCAUACAACUUAUUGACAACAUAAAGAGUAGCUCAAUUGCUUAUAAGCACAUGUAAGUCCUAUCAUUUCUCCAAAGGGAGCUCAACACUCCCAAAAGUUUAAUCAAAAUUGCCAGAGUCCAGUGCUGUGGAUUUUUUACUCAAACUGGUUGGAAUAUUAAUUAUCGAACGGUUGAAAAUCAAAUGCCAGAACAUUUUUUUCUGUACAAGUGAGUUGAGCGAAAGAAAAUUGAACACAGAAACUCGAUCCUGUUAUGUGUAUAUAGAUAACCACUUGAAUUAUUUGCGACUGCAAAAGUCAAGACAAUCAUAGGGCAAGACCAAACCAGAGGGAAACAUAUAUAUUAAUAUUACUAGUAAAUUCUGUCAAAGAUUUUGACUUGAUUAGAAGUUUCAGAACGUAGAAUCGAUCGAGUUACGAGUUACGAGUUACGAGUUGAGAGUGAUAGAAGCCAUAUAAAAUCCUUGUAUCAUCAUCGUCAGCAAUGAGUGGAAACCGUCCCCGAAGCUCCUGGAAAAAUUUGUUUCACAUGUAAAUCAUUCUUUUUUCUUCAUUCAUUGUGCCCUUUAUUUAUUUAUUUUUUCUACAAAGACAAUUCUUGAAUCUGUAUUACUAGUACUACUAGAUAAUAUGCACGUUAUGGUUUUCAUGCUUUGGCCCAUAAAUUUGGUAUUUUUUCAAUUACUCUAUGAUACUAUUUAGAAAAAGGCAGGGGUUUAAUAUGAACGAUGAUUUUGUAAUGCAAUCACGUUACGUAUUAAAGUUUACCUUAAUAGUGUAACAUGACAUCCACAACGUAAACACUAAUCUUAUUACAGUAAUAAUAAUGUCAUUCUAUGUUAUUAACUAUAACAUUUCUCUUAUUAUAUAUGUAAUUAAUGUUAGACUAGGAACUUUGACUAUUUUUUGUAAUUCAGACGUUAAAUGCUUAACUUCUUGUUGUAAUGCUUAAAUGCUGUUAAAUAUGAAGGGAGAGAACGCAAAAAUAAAUAACAUUAAAGGAUACUUUUAUAACAAUCACCAAUAAUUUUAUUAAACAAGUACCAUUAACUUUUACAAAAGGUACAGUAGCAUUUUUUUCUCUUUUUUCGUUGUUAAAGAAAGAGGAAAGUAAGGCUCCUUGUGGGUUUUACACUGAUAUGAUCAAACAGUUGAGAGUUGCAAACAAGAAUACAAAAUAAAAUCACCAAAAUGAUCAUGAACUAUGUGGUGCAUGGCAAAGUGACAUGUCAACGUUGCACAACUAACACACAUAUAAUAAAACAAAUUUUGACAAGGAAAUCCGAACUUCUUCAUAGACCCGUGCCUUAGGGUCAAUGUGGGUAGGUUUGAGUUUGUUCAGCUAUGUAUCUCAUAUUCUAUAUAUCUAACACUACACAAACACAAUAUAUAAUAUUUACAGUCUAAAUGCCAAAUUAAGGACCUGCCUGACCUGCCUCCAUGGUGCCGUGGUCCAAAAUAUUAAUCCACCGGUCCCCCAACAUGUUUUUCUUUAUAUUGCCGCCCUUCAGUUUCACAGAACCAUAUAUGUGUAGAAAGACAAACCUGAGCAUACCAGUGAAUAAGAAAAAAUGGACUAGAAUUCAAUAGUUCAAAUUUCGUCCAAAUCACAAUAGUAACAACUUUAUUCUUUUCGAAUCAGCGUGAACCAUUGGAUUUUGAUCCAAUUCCAUGCAAGUGUAUUUUAUGCAGUUCUCAGCUUAGUUUUGAUCCAUAAGCUGUGUAUUUAAAUUCAGAAUCAGUAAUUAUCAUCCAUAAAAAGACUUUGUCGUUAAAUCAAAUAAUCGUGUGUAGUUCGCUAGUUUUGAAGUACAUACCCUAACUAAAUUAUGUAUCCCCUAUAUACCUACCUCCCAAAACCUAAUAAAUAAAUAACCAUAUUAAAAGGAAGAAACAUUGAAUUGAUAUGUAUUAUUCAUGAACGUAGUGCGUUUACAGCCUCAUAGUUUGGAGAUGCCCAAUAAGGGACGAUCUAGUUGUACUCCAAAGCGUUUGGGUCGCAGGAGGUGCACGAUCCUCCUAGGAGAAGAUGGAAAUUGGAAAGUGAAAUCCAAAACCAAAUUCAAUUUUCCACCGUCGGUCGACAUGUGCUGAAUUGAAUUUUCUUAAUAAUAUUGUUAGUUGCAUGUAGUUUGGCAAGCAUGUGUUCAUUGUUGCAAGUUUCUUAUUAAUCUCAAGAAAUUAAUUGGGAAUAAAUUAAUUUUUGACAGUCUAAUUUACCUGAUGAUAAUUUAAAAUGUAGUGCAGGACCUGGCUGGGGUAGUAUAUAUAUUAAUUAAUUUUCAGUUAAUAACUUCAAGACGAUAUCCCACUUACAUGCAAAAGCUUCUCAACUGCAAAGUUUUCAUAAUUUUUGUUUGUGCUUACAGAUUAAUUAAAAAAAAGCAUCGAUCGAUCCUCUACCAAAAAGAGAAAACAAUAAAAAUCUAGAUAUAUAAAUUGAAUUCUGACUCUAAAUAUGUAAAUUGAUUUAAAGGUCCAUGUUUGACUUAGAAGUUGGCGGUUUCAGAAGUUUAGAUACUGGGACAAACUUUCGUAACCACUUAAUUUACAAACCUAGCAAGUUUAUAUUUAAAUGUAAAUUUGAGUACAUCGAGGAUUAGGGUUAUCCCAUGAAAAAGAUAAGAAAAGGAUUAGACAGAAGAGACUACUGGAGAUGUCAAGAAAGUGAAAUUCCACUAACCAAUGGUCCACUCUAUUGCAUGGUUUUCCAAUAUAAAAUUAGAUUUUGGGACAAUAUUGACUUCACUAGAUUGGGACAACAGCGACCCAUGAUUGACAUGGAGCUAAUAUUUUGUAAAAGAUUUGUUAGCAGGAAUGGUAAAACCAAGACCAAUGAGCACGAAAGGUUCGUCAUAGAUAUGUUUAUGCCGGAUUCCGGUCAUUUAAUGCAUUAGGGUUGGUUAACACGCAAUAUCAUCUUCAUGUAUUAUCUACAAGUUUGGCACAAUUAAUGGGUAAGUCACAAUAUGUUUAUUUAGCUGAAUAAGAAUGACAGAAUGAUGGAGAGGAGAGAGAGAGAGAGAGAGAGAGAGGCGAGCCUUGGAUGGAAGGGAUGAUCGAUGUAUAAUCUCUUAGAUCUUUUACAUUGGUUUAUGCAAGUGUGAUACUUAUAUAUAGAAAUCAGAUAACUUGAGUUUAAGUCCAAUAUAUUGAUAUCACUCAUGAGUUUCAUAUAUCACUUUCAUAUAUCCACACACCUAUUUUACCUCCUCACCACCCUUAAUAUAUUAAACUCACGAGUUCAAUAUAUUGUCAUCACACUUAAAUUUUUUAGCCCACUAUAAAAAUGUAAUUCCUAUAUAAGUUUAAUAUACUGGUAGUCACUUUUUCCGACCUAGACAUUAGGGCAACAAUGGCCAUAGUUUUUAUAGCCUCAUAGGAACCCUAAACCCUGUAAUUACUAUAGUAGUAUUAUUCUUCGGGAUUUCUUGUUAGUAACUGCUAGUAUCAUUGGAGUAAUACAGUACAUGAUGUCUUUUUUUUUUUUUUUGGUAAACACAGUACUUGACGUCACAUAGCUCUCAUAGCAAACAUAAAUUUACACCGAGUCUUAAACUAUUUGGUAGAAAUUCCGUCCGUUUAUUGAUGAUAUAUACAUGGUUUAUUAUGCCCUUAUCAUUCUAACUGUUAUAUUUCAUUUGAAAUGUGAUAUGGAAGUAGUUUGAAGUUUGUUUUUGUUACUAAUUCACUCCUAAUAUGAAGCAAGAACUUGUAGAUCAUGUAGUUGAUUAAGAGUGUCAUUCAUGCACUCGAGGUCUUGCGUUGGAAUCUCAACUCUUCCAAUAUUCUUUUCGUUUUCGUUUGUUUGCAGAGGUUUUCAAUACACCAUUCAAAUUAUAACACAUAUAGUUCUUUUAAAGUGUGACACUGUGACUCAUCAACUCUUUCAUCCACCCAUAUUGUGAAAUGAUAAAUCAGGUAAAAAGUGUUGAUAUAUACCCGUAAAAGUUCUCCGUUUGGGUAUAUGGAGCUAUCCUAGUAUUCCGGCUCUAAAUAUAUAAAUUGAAUUAAAGGUCCAAGUUUGACAUAGAUGUUGGGGAUUUUCCAGAAAGAACUAAAGUUAGAAUGUAAAUUAAACUUUAGGUUUAUGAAAAGGAAAAUGCUAGGAUGAUCAUUGAUCAUCUUUUGUAAUCAUAUGAUGUGGUUGUUGUAAUAACAUGAUGUGGCUGUUGAUGAUUCAAAUGAGUCAUGUUUUAAAGAAGGAAAAAUUAGUAUCCGGUUCUUAGUUACUAAUGUUCAUUGAUUGAAACCUUAUUAGUUUUCAGAUUUUGAUCAAAGGCCCUAACAUUAAUGCAAUAAUGAAUUUAGAUGUUAGUUACAUAAUUUUUAAAAUAAAAAUUAAUAAUUGAUUUAGGAUUUUAAUACUCACACCUUUAUUAAACUCCUAACUAAUUUUCAAUUCAAAACAUUUCCCAAAAAAAAAAAAUUAGAAUAAGUUAUACCCCUUAAUAUAAAAGGUUUCCAAUUUUUUAAUCUUAUAUGUACCCAUUCAUGUAAUUUUUCAACUUUUUAAUCUUAAAAUGUACCCCUUUUUUUAUAUAAAAUCUAUUCAAUUUUUUUUCUAAUCCAUUUUUAAACUUAAAUGGGUAAUUCUUUUUCUUGAUUUGAGAAUGUAUCCGUGUCAAAUUUAAUCAAAGAAAUUUAGUAAUGUUAUUAAGCCUAUAUCUAUUUUUUUUGUGUGGUUUGAAGAAUGUCCCAUAUUUGGUACAAUAAUUUUAUUAUUAAUUUGAUGAAUGUACCCAUGUUUAUAUACAUACACACACAAUAUAUUUGAGAGUAUAAUUUAUAUUUUAAUAAUGUUAAUCCACAAAUUAUGGGUUUUAUUUAUUUAUUUAAAAUAUCAUUAAUACAAACAACUAUAAAUUUCAAUUUAAAAAAUAAAAAAUAUAAUUUGUAAAAGAAGAAAAAUUGAAAACCAGCAACUUUUAGAUCACAUCCAAAACUUUAAAGGAAACGCAAAAGUUACACACUAAAAAGCUAUUUUAAGAAGAGUAGGGGAAUUUGCAAGAUUAACACAGAACUAGAUGCAACUUUUCGUGGUUACAACCCUAACAAGUUUAAAUAUUAAUAAAAAUUGAAUAAAGGAUUAGACACUGGAGGAAAGGGAGCGAGAGCUCUUUUCUGUAGAUGCCAGAGAAAGACGAAAGGUUGCACCCCAUGACGUUCCCAAUUAUUUUUCAGGUAUCCGCAGCAUCUUCAAAAUCUUAUCUAAUCCAAAUUUAAGGAAAAGGAAAGUUCAAAAGAUAAAUCUCAAAUGUUAAUUUGGCAGGUGACGUAGCAAUGUUAAAUUUUCUUUUUUUUUAACCGAUAUGUUUUUAAUGUUAUAAAUGAUAUUUGUAGGACCAAUUUUAAAAAGAAAUCAAUUAAAAUAAAUUUUCAAGAUCUAUAAUUGAUACAUUAAUGAGUCCACACAACAUAAUAAUUAAAAAUUAUUUGACAUCACAUUUUCUCAUAUGUCAAAUUUGGCAUAUGAAAACUCACAUAAGAUUGACAUAUUAGUUGGAACUUGCUUAUACCUUCAAAUUUGAUUACAUGACAUUUCACUUAAGAUUUGACAUCUCAUUUGGAAAUACCUGUCUGUUAACACACCCAACUUACUUUGCCCCUUAUAAUUAACCGGUCGAAUCUACAUUAACGAAAUAUAUUCUCUACCCGUAUAAAAUGAAAUUAACUUGCAAAGUUAGCACGCCGGCCCUAUUUGCCUUUGCUUGACUAACUAACCGAACGCACAUAUAUGCACCCAUAUUGAGCAUCUAAAACUAGGCUCAUAAUCAAAAUGAAAACGGGAUGAAAUCAUAUUUUCGUUCAUUCGAUCGUUUGAGAAUCACAAUAUCAGUUCGCAGGUCCAAACCGAGUUAACAUUUCGAGUUGAAAUUAGCACCUAGCUGAGUAGCGAUCGCCACUAAACUCGCGGAAGUUGAAGAACACGAACAAAAAGUUAAACAAGAAACGAAGAUGAAGAAGAAAAACGAAGAAACAAUUAGUUAUGGGAGCAUAAAAUCAACAUAAAACAUGGAAGAAAAUUGCCCAAGAUGAUGAGAUCACACAAAAAUCAGCUCAACUCAAUAUACAAGCGGGCAAUCCCUCUUCACAUGAAAGAAAACAAGUAACUUUUUCUCACUGUUCGUUGGAAAAAUCGCAAUAGCUACCAAGACGCAGACAGUAAAAACUGUACAGUGUACUAUACAGGAAAGUAUGAGGCUUUACUCUUCGGUAAAUGCUUCGCAACGGUUCUUUCGUG
RNAcentral lists this long non-coding RNA (39686 nucleotides) under Malus domestica (apple). RNAcentral describes it as "long non-coding RNA (MDOM_LNC001341)". Lineage: Eukaryota; Viridiplantae; Streptophyta; Magnoliopsida; Rosales; Rosaceae. The record is from RNAcentral.